This 477-nucleotide ribosomal RNA is filed under the name uncultured Cytophagales bacterium. RNAcentral's name for it is "bacterial SSU rRNA". It matches the Rfam family "Bacterial small subunit ribosomal RNA", at positions 28 to 508 of the family's 1533-position model. The record is from RNAcentral. Lineage: Bacteria; Pseudomonadati; Bacteroidota; Sphingobacteriia; Sphingobacteriales.
GAUGAGCGCUAGCGGCAGGCUUAACACAUGCAAGUCGAGGGGUAGAGUAGCAAUACUUGAGACCGGCGCACGGGUGCGUAACGCGUAUGCAAUCUACCUUAUACAGAGGGAUAGCCCAGAGAAAUUUGGAUUAAUACCUCAUAGUAUAAUUGAAUGGCAUCAUUUAAUUAUUAAAGUUCCAACGGUAUAAGAUGAGCAUGCGUCCUAUUAGCUAGAUGGUAAGGUAACGGCCUACCAUGGCUACGAUAGGUAGGGGUCCUGAGAGGGAGAUCCCCCACACUGGUACUGAGACACGGACCAGACUCCUACGGGAGGCAGCAGCGAGGAAUAUUGGACAAUGGGCGCAAGCCUGAUCCAGCCAUGCCGCGUGCAGGAAGACGCAUCUAUGGUGUGUAAACUGCUUUUGUACGGGAAGAAACACUCCUACGUGUAGGAGCUUGACGGUACCGUAAGAAUAAGGAUCGGCUAACUCCGUGC